Long non-coding RNA from Lolium perenne, 2194 nucleotides. RefSeq lists it as uncharacterized. NCBI's taxonomy places the organism in Eukaryota, Viridiplantae, Streptophyta, Magnoliopsida, Poales, Poaceae. The record is from RefSeq and is a predicted model, not a curated record.
ACUGAAAACAAAGGAUCUCGCCUGCCUCCUACCCCUGGCGAUGCUCAGCCGCUGCCUCCACGCCCACAUGCCCGGCUGCCCGCGUCCGCUGCACCUCCGCACCCGACUGCCCUUGGAGCACUACGCCGCCGCAUAGCCUGCCCGCGUCCGCUGCACCACGGCUCCACGUCGCCAUCCAUCUGUCCUUGGAGCACUACGCCGCCGCCUCCAUGCCUUCCCGCGUCCGCUGCGCCGCCGUCUGCCUUCGUUUCCCUGCCCCACCCGUGAAUCGCAGCCAGCUGCGCCCAUGCCACCGCCAUCCUCCUCGCUGAUGAUGUCAUUCGCGGGUUCCUCUCCGCCUUUAGACUGACGGCGCCAUCUGAGAUCCGUUUUAGACAGAGAAAGGCAUAAAGCAACAAGAGUUCCGGAGGCGGCUGCUGGGGUCAUACAUUGUGCACAUGAUUCACGGAGUGCACAAUAGUUCCUUUCAAUAGUAUGAAAUUUUGAAAUUUCCGGACUACUUUUCGUACAGUUCUGAUGAUAUUUUAUCUUUUUUAUAAAUGGCAAACUGAGAUUAUGCAAGCCGAUGAUAUUAGUGGUUACCUUAAAGGGAAAGUAUUGCAGAGUUGUCACUGGUUUAAUAGAUACAGACUUGAUGCUGCUGAUAUCUGGAGAUGUUCAUUUUGUAAUGGUCAUUCAUGAGAUUGGUCGAUUGUCCUUUUAUACAAUUAGGUAUUAUGUUCUACAAGACAAGUGCAAUCCAAGGGCAGAUUUAAUUAAGCCUCAGAGAGUGUAUAUAUGGUAAUUAUCUCAUUUGCACCGGUGCCGUUGUCGACCAUAUGCAUGGGUAAGCCGUGGUUGCCUCGGAGUCUACUACUUAUUGUAUAUAAUGACUCAGGUUUCAGGCUUAUAGCAUCAUUUAGUUUCAUGCAUAAUCCAGUUUUGAGGUUUUUAUAUAACAAUUAUGCCUUAUUGUCGAUUUCAUUUAUUCAUUUCAACACUUAAACAAUAAGAGCAUUAGAUAUGUACUGAAUACAAAGUCUUUCACCUAAUUUUAUCAGCCCCAUUGAGUUUUAAAAAGUCCUUACUGAUAUCUUCCUACUUUGCAAGAUUAGAUGUAGUUGGUUUUUAUUCCUAUCGUCAGGAAGUUCAUGAAUGCCAUGAGCUUGUAUAUAUCUUUUUUCACCAUGAAUCUUAUCUCUUGUAGGCGCAUGAUAGUGGUAAUAAUUUAUCCAAGAUGCCUAAAUAUGGUUUAUGUAAAAUAAUAAUGAAAAUCUUUGAUAUUUAUAUGCCACUUCCGACAUGAUGUUUAGCUUAACGGAGAUGGUAAAAAAUGGCUGAGUUUGUCUCAUCUGUUCUCGAAAGUUUGUACUCAAAUUAGGUCAAAAUUCUUUUACUCAUGGUUCAUCCUUGCAUGACCAAUCAUGUUGUGUGUGACCACUUUGAGUAAGAAUUCCUCAUAUAAGCUUAUCAAUCAUUGCUCAGAAGCAUUACACAACACAUGAUCAAAUACUUCAAACAAAAAUAGAUAGGUCGGUCCCAAAGCUAUGAGCGAAUGAUAUGCGAGUUAAUAUAUCAGAUUUUUUUUUUCAAAUUGUUGAUAGCACCUUUUGUUAUAAGAUUGAAUAGAUUGUUUGUUUAGUUAGUUUUGAGACAUCGAUUAAUGAAGGUACAUAUUUAAGUUCUUAGAAAGUAGUUCAUAAGUUGGUUGUCGUAAAAUUGAUGUCUACAUCAUACAUUUUGUGGUACUUAAAAAAGGAUAGUUCUUAAAUUUAUAUGAAUUGUUGCUACAUGGAUAUGUAUUUUCAUAUGAAACCGCUGGUAGUAAUUUCGAGAUGCCCAUUUUAUCUGUCUGAGAUUUUAUUGGCUGCCACGUAAGCGUUCACAAUGAUGCUAUUUUACCUGAAAUCAGAAGUUGAACCUAUACCCGCGUUUAUCAUGGUUUAAAUAUGAGCUUCCUUUUCCUGCUGUUAAUAAAGGUUGUUGCAUGCUACAGUACGGUGGUUUUAAUGAUCUGUACCUUUCUUUGGCACUUUUCAGAUGCAGAUGCCUUUGAUUGUUGUUGUGUUUACAUUUCAGGUUAAGACGGAGCAAGCAUUCCUCGGUUGCAGAUUUUAGAAUGUAAAGUUAAUAUGUUUCUUCUUUACAAUACAUGAUUUUAAUUGAUGAAUUUUUUUUCCUCUUGGGCCUAUCCAAUUUUGUCCAGUACUUGUUU